UCCUGACUGCGAAAGCAGACUUAACCCAAGACAGGAGACUAUAAUG
This 46-nucleotide non-coding RNA is filed under the name unclassified sequences. The record is from RNAcentral.